GCACAAUACUAAUUACUUGUGUCCUGUGAGUGAGGGCUAGAAAAUUAUUGCAUCAUACAAAGAAUAAGCAAACCUUAUGUCUAGAUCAUGUGAUGAAAAACUUGCCUGAAUACUCACAAAGAAGCACACAGAGAAAAUGAGUGGUGGGGAAAAUCCACGUAAAAGUCUGUCUCAGUUCCUCCUAGACCCAUCCCAGGAGCCCACAGACCAUCAAAGGCCCAUCUUAACAAGGACAGAGGAGCAAAGAGCCCAGAGGCAGGUAUUCCUUUGUGAACUCCAUCUCUCUUCUCCAUAUAGAGAAGACAGCCUUAGAGAGUGGGACUUGUUAAGCCUGAAGAAAGCUUAAGGAAGACCUUAUGGCAGCCUUCCAGUACCUAAAAAGGACCUACAAGAAAGCUGAAAACGGACAUUUUACAAGGCUAUGCUAAGACAA
Long non-coding RNA from Vidua chalybeata, 433 nucleotides. RefSeq lists it as uncharacterized. The record is from RefSeq and is a predicted model, not a curated record. The transcript is spliced from 4 exons. Lineage: Eukaryota; Metazoa; Chordata; Aves; Passeriformes; Viduidae.